GAGGGUAUAGCUCAGUGGUACAGUGCGUGGUUAGCACGCACUAGGUCCUGGGUUCGAGCCCCAGUACCUCCA
RNAcentral lists this transfer RNA (72 nucleotides) under Camelus bactrianus (Bactrian camel). It matches the Rfam family "tRNA". Rfam says of the family: Transfer RNA (tRNA) molecules are approximately 80 nucleotides in length. Their secondary structure includes four short double-helical elements and three loops (D, anti-codon, and T loops). Further hydrogen bonds mediate the characteristic L-shaped molecular structure. tRNAs have two regions of fundamental functional importance: the anti-codon, which is responsible for specific mRNA codon recognition, and the 3' end, to which the tRNAs corresponding amino acid is attached (by aminoacyl-tRNA synthetases). tRNAs cope with the degeneracy of the genetic code in two manners: having more than one tRNA (with a specific anti-codon) for a particular amino acid; and 'wobble' base-pairing, i.e. permitting non-standard base-pairing at the 3rd anti-codon position. RNAcentral also lists the same sequence under 2 other names. Lineage: Eukaryota; Metazoa; Chordata; Mammalia; Artiodactyla; Camelidae. The record is from Rfam by way of RNAcentral.